Molecule: long non-coding RNA, 954 nt
Filed under: Homo sapiens (human)
Lineage: Eukaryota; Metazoa; Chordata; Mammalia; Primates; Hominidae
Description: HSALNT0107053
Source: RNAcentral
AGGCUAGUCUUGAACUCUUGGCCUCAGGCAAUCUUCCUGCCUUUACCUCCGGAGACAAUGGGAUUACAGACAUGAGCCACCAUGCCCAGUGACGAAACUUCAGCUUUAAGAGGUUAAAAGACUUGUCCAGAGUCAUGUUAACAGGUAAAUCUACUGUGAAUGUUAUGAGCCAAGCCCAGAUCACCAACUUCAAACAGAAUUGGAGGUACCUGUAGAGAGUUACGCUGGCAGACAGGCUUUUACUAAAGCCAGCAGAGCAGAGGAUCUCCCUCUGUUACCCAGGCUGGAGUGCAGCAGCGCAAUCUCAGCUCACUGCACCCUCCACCUCCCAGGCUCAGGAGAUUCUCCUGCUUCAGCCUCCCAACUAGCUGGGAUUACAAGCGUGCACCACCAAGCCCAGCUGAUUUUCUGUAUUUUAGUAGAGAUGGGGUUUCACCUAAUAUUAAAGUCCAUCAUCUUGUACUAAAGAUAUAAAAUGUUGACCUUUCCUUUGUCUGUACUGCCUGGUAAAAUCUUGUCAAAAUUUCCAAAUUAUUUCACUAUGAAGCAUUACUACAGUAAACUAUGGUAUUUGUUGGUAGCAUAUGUGUGUGUGUAUUUUGAUCUCAUUUUUCAUCCUCAAAAUUCACCAAUGCUUACAAUUUUAAAAACCUGUUCAAUGUGUAGAGAGCAGGAUUAUUAUUUUGUGUAUGAGAGAAGACUCCUUAGAGUGCUAUGUUUUUAAAAUAAUACUUUUAGCAAUUAUUAAUACAGUACACUUUGUUUUAAACAUUCUUUAAACAACUUUUAAAAUUGUAUAUUAAACAAAACAAAGCUGUCUUGCCUUUAGGAGGUUCUUUAACGUCUUUGUGCUUCAGUUUCUUCAGCAAUAAAAUGGGAAUAACAAUAAUGGCCCUAUCUACUAUUCAAAUAUCUAUUAAGGCAAGUUAGGACAAUAGAAAUAGAUACAAAACC